UUUUUUUUUUUUUUUUUUUUUUUUCUGGGGUAGAUAUAUUUAUUUUUUGGUAACAUACAUUAAGUGGCACUAAUUACACAGUAACUAUAAGGUAACUAACAUGAGACCACAGAACUGUAACUCUGCAACAGCUGCGUGGACUUGGGCCUUUCUGGCUGAGCAAGAUUUCAAAAAACUGAAUACCCACCCCAGAGCUCUGGCAAUGGAGUCUGUUAACAAGGAAAGCUCUGAAGUAGUGACUCACCAGAGUUCUUGCAGUUGACAGAAAGUAGGCAGGACAUGUUAGUUAUAAAGUAGUUACAGCCUAAUUCACAAAAGUUACCAACUGUUUCUCUUUCUAGAAAGAA
This 347-nucleotide long non-coding RNA is filed under the name Mus musculus (house mouse). Its description in RNAcentral is "predicted gene, 37401". The record is from RNAcentral. Lineage: Eukaryota; Metazoa; Chordata; Mammalia; Rodentia; Muridae.